This 65-nucleotide transfer RNA is filed under the name Amblyomma latum. Its description in RNAcentral is "tRNA-Leu". Lineage: Eukaryota; Metazoa; Arthropoda; Arachnida; Ixodida; Ixodidae. The record is from RNAcentral.
AUUAAAGUGACAGAAAUAUGUAAGGAAUUUAAGCUUCCUUUAUGAAUUAAAUGAUUCCUUUAAUA